GACAGAGGGGGCAAGCGUUGCUCGGAAUCACUGGGCGUAAAGGGCGCGUAGGCGGCAUGACAAGUCACUUGUGAAAUCUCCGGGCUUAACUCGGAACGGCCAAGUGAUACUGUCGCGCUAGAGUGCGGAAGGGGCAAUCAGAAUUCUUGGUGUAGCGGUGAAAUGCGUAGAUAUCAAGAGGAAUACCUGAGGUGAAGACGGGUUGCUAGGCCGACACUGACGCUGAGUGCGCGAAAGCCAGGGGAGCAAACGGG
Molecule: ribosomal RNA, 254 nt
Filed under: uncultured prokaryote
Description: partial 16S ribosomal RNA
Rfam family: Bacterial small subunit ribosomal RNA
Source: RNAcentral